Molecule: unclassified non-coding RNA, 313 nt
Filed under: uncultured bacterium
Lineage: Bacteria
Description: contains 16S-23S intergenic spacer region
Source: RNAcentral
AGCCCUUGACAUGUGACUCGCCGGUACCAGAGAUGGUACCUUCGGUUCGGCCGGAGUCAGCACCUGUGCAGGAUCUCCGAAGAGGGGCUCUCGUUUCUGAGAGCUUGCUCCUGCAUGUCAAGCCUAGGUAAGGUUCUUCGCGUUGCGUCGAAUUAAACCACAUGCUCCACCGCUUGUGCGGGCCCCCGUCAAUUCCUUUGAGUUUUAAUCUUGCGACCGUACUCCCCAGGCGGUCGACUUCACGCGUUAGCUGCGGUACUAAGGAAGUCUCCUUCCCCAACACCUAGUCGACAUCGUUUAGGGCGUGGACUAC